RNAcentral lists this ribosomal RNA (253 nucleotides) under uncultured bacterium. RNAcentral describes it as "partial 16S ribosomal RNA". It matches the Rfam family "Bacterial small subunit ribosomal RNA", at positions 524 to 776 of the family's 1533-position model. The record is from RNAcentral.
GACGAACCGUGCGAACGUUAUUCGGAAUCACUGGGCUUAAAGGGAGCGUAGGCGGGCUAUCAAGUCUGGGGUGAAAUCCCGCGGCUCAACCGUGGAACUGCCUCAGAUACUGACGGCCUCGAGGGAGAUAGGGGCAUGCGGAACUGUAGGUGGAGCGGUGAAAUGCGUUGAUAUCUACAGGAACACCGGUGGCGAAAGCGGCGUGCUGGAUCUCUUCUGACGCUGAGGCGCGAAAGCUAGGGUAGCAAACGGG